GACGUAGGGCGCGAGCGUUGUCCGGAUUUAUUGGGCGUAAAGAGCUCGUAGGCGGCUUGUUGCGUCGACCGUGAAAACCCGGGGCUUAACUUCGGGCCUGCGAUCGAUACGGGCAGGCUAGAGUUCGGUAGGGGAGACUGGAAUUCCUGGUGUAGCGGUGAAAUGCGCAGAUAUCAGGAGGAACACCGGUGGCGAAGGCGGGUCUCUGGGCCGAUACUGACGCUGAGGAGCGAAAGCGUGGGGAGCGAACAGG
RNAcentral lists this ribosomal RNA (253 nucleotides) under uncultured bacterium. RNAcentral's name for it is "partial 16S ribosomal RNA". It matches the Rfam family "Bacterial small subunit ribosomal RNA", at positions 524 to 776 of the family's 1533-position model. The record is from RNAcentral.